GAUGAACGCUGGCGGCGUGCCUAAUACAUGCGAGUCGAGCGAACAGACGAGGAGCUUGCUCCUCUGACGUUAGCGGCGGACGGGUGAGUAACACGUGGAUAACCUACCUAUAAGACUGGGAUAACUUCGGGAAACCGGAGCUAAUACCGGAUAAUAUAUUGAACCGCAUGGUUCAAUAGUGAAAGACGGUUUCGCUGUCACUUAUAGAUGGAUCCGCGCCGCAUUAGCUAGUUGGUAAGGUAACGGCUUACCAAGGCGACGAUGCGUAGCCGACCUGAGAGGGUGAUCGGCCACACUGGAACUGAGACACGGUCCAGACUCCUACGGGAGGCAGCAGUAGGGAAUCUUCCGCAAUGGGCGAAAGCCUGACGGAGCAACGCCGCGUGAGUGAUGAAGGUCUUCGGAUCGUAAAACUCUGUUAUUAGGGAAGAACAAAUGUGUAAGUAACUAUGCACGUCUUGACGGUACCUAAUCAGAAAGCCACGGCUAACUACGUG
Molecule: ribosomal RNA, 497 nt
Filed under: uncultured bacterium
Lineage: Bacteria
Description: partial 16S ribosomal RNA
Rfam family: Bacterial small subunit ribosomal RNA
Source: RNAcentral